This 549-nucleotide ribosomal RNA is filed under the name uncultured bacterium. Its description in RNAcentral is "bacterial SSU rRNA". It matches the Rfam family "Bacterial small subunit ribosomal RNA", at positions 243 to 804 of the family's 1533-position model. The record is from RNAcentral.
AGCUAGUUGGUGAGGUAAAGGCUCACCAAGGCGACGAUCUCUAGCUGUUCUGAGAGGAAGAUCAGCCACACUGGAACUGAGACACGGUCCAGACUCCUACGGGAGGCAGCAGUGGGGAAUAUUGCGCAAUGGGCGGAAGCCUGACGCAGCGACGCCGCGUGAGGGAUGACGGCCUUCGGGUUGUAAACCUCUUUCAGCAGGGACGAAGCGGAAGUGACGGUACCUGCAGAAGAAGCACCGGCCAACUACGUGCCAGCAGCCGCGGUAAUACGUAGGGUGCAAGCGUUGUCCGGAAUUAUUGGGCGUAAAGAGCUCGUAGGCGGUUUUUCGCGUCGGCUGUGAAAGCCCGGAGCUCAACUCCGGGUCUGCAGUCGAUACGGGCAGACUUGAGUGUUGCAGGGGAGACUGGAAUUCCUGGUGUAGCGGUGAAAUGCGCAGAUAUCAGGAGGAACACCGGUGGCGAAGGCGGGUCUCUGGGCAACAACUGACGCUGAGGAGCGAAAGCGUGGGGAGCGAACAGGAUUAGAUACCCUGGUAGUCCACGCCGUA